This 67-nucleotide transfer RNA is filed under the name uncultured Sphingobacterium sp. It matches the Rfam family "tRNA". Rfam says of the family: Transfer RNA (tRNA) molecules are approximately 80 nucleotides in length. Their secondary structure includes four short double-helical elements and three loops (D, anti-codon, and T loops). The record is from RNAcentral. Lineage: Bacteria; Pseudomonadati; Bacteroidota; Sphingobacteriia; Sphingobacteriales; Sphingobacteriaceae.
CGAAGUAGCUCAGGGGUAGAGCACUUCCUUGGUAAGGAAGAGGUCAUGGGUUCAAAUCCCAUCUUUG